Molecule: ribosomal RNA, 253 nt
Filed under: uncultured bacterium
Lineage: Bacteria
Description: partial 16S ribosomal RNA
Rfam family: Bacterial small subunit ribosomal RNA
Source: RNAcentral
UACGUAGGGUGCAAGCGUUAAUCGGAAUUACUGGGCGUAAAGCGUGCGCAGGCGGUUUUGUAAGACAGGCGUGAAAUCCCCGGGCUCAACCUGGGAAUUGCGCUUGUGACUGCAAAGCUGGAGUGCGGCAGAGGGGGAUGGAAUUCCGCGUGUAGCAGUGAAAUGCGUAGAUAUGCGGAGGAACACCGAUGGCGAAGGCAAUCCCCUGGGCCUGCACUGACGCUCAUGCAUGAAAGCGUGGGGAGCAAACAGG